UACGGGGGGGGGUAAGCGUUGUUCGGAAUUACUGGGCGUAAAGGGCUCGUAGGCGGCCAACUAAGUCGGACGUGAAAUCCCUCAGCUUAACUGGGGAACUGCGUCUGAUACUGGGAGGCUCGAGUAUGGGAGAGGGAUGUAGAAUUCCAGGUGUAGCGGUGAAAUGCGUAGAUAUCUGGAGGAAUACCGGUGGCGAAGGCGGCAUCCUGGACCGGCAUUGACGCUGAGGAGCGAAAGCUAGGGGAGCAAACGGGG
Molecule: ribosomal RNA, 255 nt
Filed under: uncultured bacterium
Lineage: Bacteria
Description: partial 16S ribosomal RNA
Rfam family: Bacterial small subunit ribosomal RNA
Source: RNAcentral